AUUUUCAACAAUCUGGAUCUCUUGGGGUUCUUGGGCAUUCAGAUGCAAAAACCGCCAACGAAAAUGACGAUUAAAUUAAUUGUAGAAUUAGCCAGAAUUUCAUGGGAAUUCAUCUGAAUCUUUUGAAAAGCAUCAUUUGCGCCCCAUUCCUGGUAUUCCUGGAUGGGCCAUACCGUGUAUCUCAGCGUUCAUUUC
This 195-nucleotide ribosomal RNA is filed under the name Clonostachys cf. rosea. RNAcentral describes it as "5.8S ribosomal RNA". Lineage: Eukaryota; Fungi; Ascomycota; Sordariomycetes; Hypocreales; Bionectriaceae. The record is from RNAcentral.